Molecule: ribosomal RNA, 448 nt
Filed under: uncultured bacterium
Lineage: Bacteria
Description: bacterial SSU rRNA
Rfam family: Bacterial small subunit ribosomal RNA
Source: RNAcentral
CUGCCAGACUCCUACGGGAGGCAGCAGUGGGGAAUAUUGCACAAUGGGGGAAACCCUGAUGCAGCGACGCCGCGUGAGUGAAGAAGUAUUUCGGUAUGUAAAGCUCUAUCAGCAGGGAAGAAAAUGACGGUACCUGAUUAAGAAGCCCCGGCUAACUACGUGCCAGCAGCCGCGGUAAUACGUAGGGGGCAAGCGUUAUCCGGAUUUAUUGGGUUUAAAGGGUGCGUAGGCGGACGCUUAAGUCAGCGGUAAAAUUGGGGGGCUCAACCUCGUCGAGCCGUUGAAACUGGGUGCCUUGAGUGGGCGAGAAGUACGCGGAAUGCGUGGUGUAGCGGUGAAAUGCAUAGAUAUCGCGCAGAACUCCGAUUGCGAAGGCAGCAUGCCGGCUCCACACUGACGCUGAGGCACGAAAGCGUGGGUAUCGAACAGGAUUAGAUACCCCUGUACG